CUGGUUUAGUGGCACCGGUGUCGUCAUCGUCAUUGCUGAUAAUGAACAACAUAGGGUAAGAAGGGCGUUCUCGCGUGGAGAAGAGAAAGGGAGGAAUGAAGGAUUGAUGUUGUGGCAGGCUGCGUGUCGUCAUUGGAGGCGCUGUGGAUUGUGCAGGUGGAGGUUGGCCGUGGUCGUGAGCGGCAGGGUGGGUGUCGCUGGUCGUUACCUUCAAGAGAGGAGAAGGCCCUGUGUUUCUCUCGACAGCGCUUGGAAAAAAUGAAAGAGAAUUGGAGGAACCCCUGAUCAGUUUCUGUUAGGGUUAAGUGGCCUUGGGCCUGACUGAUGGGCUGUCUGUUCUUCCCUGCACCCCUCAUUCAUGUUUCAUACCCCUACUUCAAUUCUGCGAAAAAAAGAGAGGAAAAAGAGGCCUUGGGCAUGGUCAGCAAAAGAUCCAGUUACACACCCUGGUUUCAGUUUCUCCACACCCCUUCUGUCUGGCCCGCAUUCCUUCUGCCCGCCACCACUUGCAUUCCCAUUCGCACUCCCUUGCCAUUUCUGCAAACAAAAAAAGGCUUUGGGCUUGGGCAUUGUUUCUUCCUGCCGCCACGCGCACCCCUCCC
Molecule: long non-coding RNA, 602 nt
Filed under: Vigna radiata
Lineage: Eukaryota; Viridiplantae; Streptophyta; Magnoliopsida; Fabales; Fabaceae
Description: long non-coding RNA (VRAD_LNC011024)
Source: RNAcentral